GCGAGAUGACGCGCGAUCAAUACAACUUUCAACAACGGAUCUCUUGGCUCUCGCAUCGGUGGAGAACGCGGCGAAAUGCGAUACGUAAUAUGAAUUGCAGAAUUCAGUGAAUCAUCGAAUCUUUGAACGCACCUUGCGCCCCUUGGCAUUCCGAGGGGCACACCCGUUUGAGUGUCGUGAACAUCCUCAACCCGCUUGGUUUUUAUCAAACCAAGUAGGCUUGGAAUUUGGAGGUUUUCUGCUGGCCUCCUCCGAAGCCAGCUCCUCUUAAAUGUAUCAGUGGGAUCCGCUUUGCUUAGAUCCUCGACGUUGAUAAGAUGUUUCUACGUCUUGGGUUUUGCUCGGGAAAGGACCUGCUUCUAACCGUCCCAUCCGGGGACAACGUUCGAGCCGAUCGCCCUUCACGGGGUGGGAAGCUUUCGACCCAUGAAACCU
RNAcentral lists this ribosomal RNA (435 nucleotides) under uncultured fungus. RNAcentral's name for it is "eukaryotic LSU rRNA". The stretch from base 24 to 177 matches the Rfam family "5.8S ribosomal RNA". The record is from RNAcentral. Lineage: Eukaryota; Fungi.